RNAcentral lists this ribosomal RNA (333 nucleotides) under uncultured eukaryote. RNAcentral describes it as "partial 18S ribosomal RNA". It matches the Rfam family "Eukaryotic small subunit ribosomal RNA", at positions 1470 to 1795 of the family's 1831-position model. The record is from RNAcentral.
CCCUUAGAUGUCCGGGGCCGCACGCGCGCUACACUGAAGGAAUCAGCGUGGCUUUCUCCCUGACCCGAAAGGGUUGGGAAACCCGUCGAAUCUCCUUCGUGAUAGGGAUUGGGGCUUGAAAUUGUUCCCCAUGAACGAGGAAUUCCCAGUAAGCGCGAGUCAUAAGCUCGCGUUGAUUACGUCCCUGCCCUUUGUACACACCGCCCGUCGCUACUACCGAUUGAACGGUUUAGUGAGGGCCUCGGAUUGGUCUCGGCCCGCUCUUUACCGGGCGGCGCCGUUGGUCGAGAAGACGCUCGAACUUGAUCGUUUAGAGGAAGUAAAAGUCGUAAC